RNAcentral lists this long non-coding RNA (1176 nucleotides) under Parus major (Great Tit). RNAcentral's name for it is "lncRNA (ENSPMJG00000013216.1)". Lineage: Eukaryota; Metazoa; Chordata; Aves; Passeriformes; Paridae. The record is from RNAcentral.
CACACUCCCUGUCCCCCAUCCACAUCCAUGCUCCCAUUCCCUCCCUGGAGUCUUUGGGAUGAGGAUGGAGACCCCAGGCUGGGAGGCUCCAACACCUCUGGGGACCCCCAGGUCUGUUCAACCUGAAAUUUGUCCGCUCCAAACUUUUCCCUCGAUCCCACCACCUCUUCCUGCUGCUCCAUCAGAUGUUCCCUCACUGUGAUGUCCAUCAACACAGCCCAAAACCCCCAAACACCCCAAGGAUGAAGCCCAAAACCCCCAAACACCCCGAGGAUGAAGCCCAAAACCCCCAAACACCCCGAGGAUGAAGCCCAAAACCCCCAAACACCCCGAGGAUGAAGCCCAAAACCCUCAAACACCCCAAGGAUGAAGGCCAAAAUAUUUUUGGGAGGAUGAAGGACAGCUGGCCAGGGUGACAACUGAGUUGAGGACAUCACGAGACCUUGGGAGCAGCUUUCACAGCGUGGCCAGAACUUCGGGAAUUCAAUUUGUCAGGAGGGGACAAGUUCGGUCACGGUGCGAAACCAACCACAAAACCCUUUUAUUCCCUUUCCAGCCUCAGCAUAAUCCCUGACUUGCAAUUUUUCCAGGAAUUUGGCCGGCUGUCAUGCCGGCUGUCUCAGCAGGAUCGGCGGCUCCGCCGUGCCCGGGGCUCCGGGUGCUGCUCACAUGUUCUUUUUUCCACGGCUGUGAGAGCUUCCUCACGUCCAACCCGUGGUUUUUUUGGGAGCAGAAGGACCCAAACCCAGUCAGGUUUUCUCUUCUGAGCUCCUUUGGGACGUGCAUGGAGCAGGAUGGAGGCUGGGAAAGGGGACCCUCCACACCACACCCAUGGCCUGCUACGACUCCUGCCGUCCCUGUGGACCCACCCCGCUGGCCAACAGCUGCAACGAGCCCUGUGCCCUGCAAUGCCAGGACUCCCACGUUGUCAUCAACCCUUCCCCUGUGCUGAUCACCCUGCCAGGACCAAUCAUGACCUCCUUCCCUCAGAACACCGCUGUUGGAUCCACCUCCUCGGCUGCCGUGGGCACUGAACUCAGUGUGCAGGGACAGCCCAUCUCUGGUGGAUUUGGUGGAUUUGGUGGCUUUGGUGGCUUUGGCUAUGGUCGUGGAUUUGGCUACGGGCUGGGAGGCCUGGGCUGCUAUGGCAGAAGGGGUGGCUACAUCUGCUAAGGG